RNAcentral lists this unclassified non-coding RNA (378 nucleotides) under plant metagenome. RNAcentral's name for it is "partial contains 5.8S ribosomal RNA, internal transcribed spacer 2, and large subunit ribosomal RNA". The stretch from base 1 to 105 matches the Rfam family "5.8S ribosomal RNA", at positions 50 to 154 of the family's 154-position model. The record is from RNAcentral.
GAAAUGCGAUAAGUAAUGUGAAUUGCAGAAUUCAGUGAAUCAUCGAAUCUUUGAACGCACCUUUCGCUCCUUGGUAUUCCUUGGAGCAUGCCUGUUUGAGUAUCAUGAAAUCUUCAAAGUAAAUCUUUUGUUAACUCAAUUGGUUUCUACUUUGGUAUUGGAGGUCUUUGCAGCUUCACACCUGCUCCUCUUUGUUCAUUAGCUGGAUCUCAGUGUUAUGCUUGGUUCCACUCGGCGUGAUAAGUUAUCUAUCGCUGAGGACACUGUAAAAGGUGGCCAAGGUAAAUGCAGAUGAACCGCUUCUAAUAGUCCAUUGACUUGGACAAUACUUUUAUGAUCUGAUCUCAAAUCAGGUAGGACUACCCGCUGAACUUAGGC